GCGAGCGAAGCGGCAAAAGCUCAAAUUUGAAAUCUGGCGCCUUUGGCGUCCGAGUUGUAAUUUGAAGAUGGCAACUUUGGGAUUGGCUCUCGCAUAUGUUCCUUGGAACAGGACGUCAUAGAGGGUGAGAACCCCGUUUAUGGUGAGAUGACCCAAUCCUAUGUAAAGUGCUUUCUAAGAGUCGAGUUGUUUGGGAAUGCAGCUCUAAGUGGGUGGUAAAUUCCAUCUAAGGCUAAAUAUUGGCGAGAGACCGAUAGCGAACAAGUACAGUGAUGGAAAGAUGAAAAGAACUUUGAAAAGAGAGUGAAAAAGUACGUGAAAUUGUUGAAAGGGAAGGGCUUGAAAUCAGACUUGGUAUUCAGUGAUCAACUGUCUUUCGGGACUGUGCACUCGCUGUUUACUGGGCCAACAUCGGUUUGGAGGGUGAGAUAAAAGCUUGAGAAUGUGGCUAGCCUUCGGGGUAGUGUUAUAGCUCUUGUUAAUAUCACCAUUCCGGACCGAGGACUGCGCUUUAUGCUAGGAUGUUGGCGUAAUGAUUUUAAGCCACCCGUCUU
Molecule: ribosomal RNA, 554 nt
Filed under: [Candida] sp. DBVPG 5835
Lineage: Eukaryota; Fungi; Ascomycota; Saccharomycetes; Saccharomycetales
Description: eukaryotic LSU rRNA
Rfam family: Eukaryotic large subunit ribosomal RNA
Source: RNAcentral